This 30-nucleotide small RNA is filed under the name Bombyx mori (domestic silkworm). Its description in RNAcentral is "ovarian small RNA-2908". The record is from RNAcentral. Lineage: Eukaryota; Metazoa; Arthropoda; Insecta; Lepidoptera; Bombycidae.
UAAUGAGAUACCUGUGGGACUGUGCCCCCA